This 486-nucleotide ribosomal RNA is filed under the name uncultured crenarchaeote. RNAcentral's name for it is "bacterial SSU rRNA". It matches the Rfam family "Archaeal small subunit ribosomal RNA", at positions 337 to 825 of the family's 1478-position model. The record is from RNAcentral. Lineage: Archaea; Thermoproteati; Thermoproteota. RNAcentral also lists the same sequence under 2 other names.
AGGCGCGAAAAUUCUGCAAUAGGCGAAAGCUUGACAGAGUUACUCUGAGUGAUGCCCGCUAAGGGCAUCUUUUGGCACCUCUAAAAAUGGUGCAGAAUAAGGGGUGGGCAAGUCUGGUGUCAGCCGCCGCGGUAAUACCAGCACCCCGAGUGGUCGGGACGAUUAUUGGGCCUAAAGCAUCCGUAGCUUGUUCUGCAAGUCUUCCGUUAAAUCCACCUGCUCAACAGAUGGGCUGCGGGAGAUACUACAGGGCUAGGAGGCGGGAGAGGCAAGCGGUACUCAGUGGGUAGGGGUAAAAUCCUCUGAUCCACUGAAGACCACCAGUGGCGAAGGCGGCUUGCCAGAACGCGCUCGACGGUGAGGGAUGAAAGCUGGGGGAGCAAACCGGAUUAGAUACCCGGGUAGUCCCAGCUGUAAACGAUGCAGACUCGGUGAUGGGUUGGCUUUGCGCCAACCCAGUGCCGCAGGGAAGCCGUUAAGUCUGCC